Transfer RNA from Termitomyces sp. J132, 89 nucleotides. It matches the Rfam family "tRNA". From Rfam's summary of the family: Transfer RNA (tRNA) molecules are approximately 80 nucleotides in length. Their secondary structure includes four short double-helical elements and three loops (D, anti-codon, and T loops). NCBI's taxonomy places the organism in Eukaryota, Fungi, Basidiomycota, Agaricomycetes, Agaricales, Lyophyllaceae. The record is from Rfam.
GGUGAGAUGGCCGAGCGGUCUAAGGCGCCAGACUAAGGUAUUCUUAUCUGGUCUCUUCGGGGGCGGGAGUUCGAAUCUCCCUCUCAUCA